This 207-nucleotide ribosomal RNA is filed under the name uncultured bacterium. RNAcentral's name for it is "partial 16S ribosomal RNA". It matches the Rfam family "Bacterial small subunit ribosomal RNA", at positions 568 to 774 of the family's 1533-position model. The record is from RNAcentral.
CACGUAGGCGGGUUCUUAAGUCAGGGGUGAAAUCCCGGAGCUCAACUCCGGAACUGCCUUUGAUACUGGGAAUCUUGAGUCCGGAAGAGGUGAGUGGAACUCCGAGUGUAGAGGUGAAAUUCGUAGAUAUUCGGAAGAACACCAGUGGCGAAGGCGGCUCACUGGUCCGGUACUGACGCUGAGGUGCGAAAGCGUGGGGAGCAAACA